This 22-nucleotide non-coding RNA is filed under the name Arabidopsis thaliana (thale cress). Lineage: Eukaryota; Viridiplantae; Streptophyta; Magnoliopsida; Brassicales; Brassicaceae. The record is from RNAcentral.
GGCCGUAUUGUUAGAAUGUGGG